This 468-nucleotide ribosomal RNA is filed under the name uncultured bacterium. RNAcentral describes it as "partial 16S ribosomal RNA". It matches the Rfam family "Bacterial small subunit ribosomal RNA", at positions 28 to 507 of the family's 1533-position model. The record is from RNAcentral.
GACGAACGCUGGCGGCGUGCUUAACACAUGCAAGUCGAACGGAAAGGCCCUGCUUUUGUGGGGUGCUCGAGUGGCGGACGGGUGAGUAACACGUGAGUAACCUGCCCUUGACUUUGGGAUAACUUCAGGAAACUGGGGCUAAUACCGGAUAGGAGCUCCUGCUGCAUGGUGGGGGUUGGAAAGUUUCGGCGGUUGGGGAUGGACUCGCGGCUUAUCAGCUUGUUGGUGGGGUAGUGGCUUACCAAGGCUUUGACGGGUAGCCGGCCUGAGAGGGUGACCGGCCACAUUGGGACUGAGAUACGGCCCAGACUCCUACGGGAGGCAGCAGUGGGGAAUAUUGCACAAUGGGCGGAAGCCUGAUGCAGCAACGCCGCGUGCGGGAUGACGGCCUUCGGGUUGUAAACCGCUUUCGCCUGUGACGAAGCGUGAGUGACGGUAAUGGGUAAAGAAGCACCGGCUAAUUACGUG